CAACCCUCAAGCACGGCUUGGUGUUGGCGGAUUGCGUGCCCUAGCGGGCGCUGCACCCGCCCAAAUACAGUGGCGGUCCCGCUGCGGCUCCCUUUGCGUAGUAACUCACCUCGCACUGGACCGGGCGGCGGCUCGCCGUAAAACCCCAACUCACGAAA
Molecule: unclassified non-coding RNA, 158 nt
Filed under: uncultured Hypocreales
Lineage: Eukaryota; Fungi; Ascomycota; Sordariomycetes; Hypocreales
Description: sequence contains ITS2
Source: RNAcentral